UUUCAAACACCAAGGAACUCACCAGACAGGUCAGACAGGACACCUACACUGAAACAAUGGGAAAUGGAGGGUUGUUGAACUUAUAAAAAUACAUUUCAUAUAUUCUACAAAAUUUAUUUGUAUUUCUCAUCUGAACAUGUUCAAAUCAUGUAAAGUGUAUUAAAGAUUGAACUAUUUAAAUUCCACAAUUCUUAGUCAUGUUAACAAAAAGAAAAUAGUUAUGUUUUAUUAGUCUGUAGUUGGAAACUCCACCUCUUGGGGGCACUCUACUGGACAGAGAACGGCUGUGCUGCUGUGGAAUCUUUACCUUCCUUCCUGAAUCUCUGCUGAGAAGAUUUUGCCACAAUUUGAAUGGUGAAGGCCAGUGAUUGACCUCUUCUCUGAUGAAAAUAUUGUCUUCUUAAAGAAUGACAAGAAUAUAUGUUGUCUGUUAUGCACAGCUUAAAUUUAUACAGUCUUAUCCAACAGCCCUGCAGAGAAAAAGCCAAAUCUUCAGAUUUGCAACCAGCAACCAGCACCCACAUCUACGCAAUAUUUGCUGCUCAUCUACAAGAACUAUAAGCUCUCUGCUGUGAUUAUGCACAUGUACCUAUAUGUUACAGUAUGUUACAUAUCUCUGCACCCUAUUCUCACUACUCACAUUUCAUUGUACCAUAUCGGUACUGCACUGUUCUGUCUGUUAAAUUGUCUUUUGUAUUUUUUGUAUUUAUUGUAGUGUUAUAGUUUUUAUGUUGCACAUUCGAUACACGUUUGCACUUUGUUAUCUACUGUAAUUGUUGUUCCAUGUUGCACCAUGAUUCUGGAGGAACGUAAUUUUGUUACACUGUGUACCUGUACUCAGAUGUAAUGACAAUAAAAGCCUCUUGACUUGACUUAAAAAAU
Molecule: long non-coding RNA, 882 nt
Filed under: Astyanax mexicanus (Mexican tetra)
Lineage: Eukaryota; Metazoa; Chordata; Actinopteri; Characiformes; Acestrorhamphidae
Description: lncRNA (ENSAMXG00005002459.1)
Source: RNAcentral